UACAUGCUAAAAACCUCGACUUCGGAAGGGGUGUAUUUAUUAGAUAAAAAACCAAUGCCCUUCGGGGCUCCUUGGUGAUUCAUAAUAACUUAACGAAUCGCAUGGCCUUGUGCCGGCGAUGGUUCAUUCAAAUUUCUGCCCUAUCAACUUUCGAUGGUAGGAUAGUGGCCUACCAUGGUUUCAACGGGUAACGGGGAAUUAGGGUUCUAUUCCGGAGAGGGAGCCUGAGAAACGGCUGCCACAUCCAAGGAAGGCAGCAGGCGCGCAAAUUACCCAAUCCCGACACGGGGAGGUAGUGACAAUAAAUACUGAUACAGGGCUCUUUUGGGUCUUGUAAUUGGAAUGAGUACAAUUUAAAUCCCUUAACGAGGAACAAUUGGAGGGCAAGUCUGGUGCCAGCAGCCGCGGUAAUUCCAGCUCCAAUAGCGUAUAUUAAAGUUGUUGCAGUUAAAAAGCUCGUAGUUGAACCUUGAGCCUGGCUGGCCGGUCCGCCUCACCGCGUGCAAGGGUCCGGCCGGCCUUUUCUCUGUGGGGAGCCGCAUGCCCUUCACGGGGUGGGUCGGGGAACCAGGACUUUUACUUUGAAAAAAUUAGAGUGUUCAAAGCAGGCCUAUGCUCGAAUACAUUAGCAUGGAAUAAUAGAAUAGGACGUGUGGUUCUAUUUUGUUGGUUUCUAGGACCGCCGUAAUGAUUAAUAGGGAUAGUCGGGGGCAUCAGUAUUCAAUUGUCAGAGGUGAAAUUCUUGGAUUUAUUGAAGACUAACUACUGCGAAAGCAUUUGCCAAGGAUGUUUUCAUUAAUCAGUGAACGAAAGUUAGGGGAUCGAAGACGAUCAGAAACCGUUGUAGUCUUAACCAUAAACUAUGCCGACUAGGGAUCGGGCGAUGUU
This 888-nucleotide ribosomal RNA is filed under the name Cadophora gregata. RNAcentral describes it as "SSU rRNA". It matches the Rfam family "Eukaryotic small subunit ribosomal RNA", at positions 168 to 1064 of the family's 1831-position model. The record is from RNAcentral. Lineage: Eukaryota; Fungi; Ascomycota; Leotiomycetes; Helotiales; Ploettnerulaceae.